AGUGAACGCUGGCGGUAGGCCUAACACAUGCAAGUCGAACGGCAGCACAGUAAGAGCUUGCUCUUACGGGUGGCGAGUGGCGGACGGGUGAGGAAUACAUCGGAAUCUACUUUUUCGUGGGGGAUAACGUAGGGAAACUUACGCUAAUACCGCAUACGACCUACGGGUGAAAGCAGGGGAUCUUCGGACCUUGCGCGAUUGAAUGAGCCGAUGUCGGAUUAGCUAGUUGGCGGGGUAAAGGCCCACCAAGGCGACGAUCCGUAGCUGGUCUGAGAGGAUGAUCAGGCCACCUGGAACCGAGACAAGGUCCAGACCCCCACGGGAGGGAGGCGUUGGGAAUUAUUGAACAAGGGCGGCAGGCUGAACCAGGCAUUCCGGGGUGGUUAAGAAGGCCUUCGGGUUGUAAAGCCCUUUUGUUGGGAAAGAAAAGCAGCAGGUUAAUACCCCGCUGUUCUGACGGUACCCAAAGAAUAAGCACCGGCUAACUUCGUG
This 492-nucleotide ribosomal RNA is filed under the name uncultured bacterium. RNAcentral describes it as "partial 16S ribosomal RNA". It matches the Rfam family "Bacterial small subunit ribosomal RNA", at positions 29 to 507 of the family's 1533-position model. The record is from RNAcentral.